CGAAAAACCGAAAAACCUGCAAGCUGAGUUGUUCGGAAAGGCAUCAGACUGAAAAGGGGGUCAGGCUUCAGGCAAGAAGAGGAACAGUCAAAACAUGUGUGUUCAACCGCUCUGAAUGCCUGAAUCAUCAGAAGCUCUUCAGCGUCCGUCUGCCCCCCUUAGCUGGGGCUGAAGUGAAUGCCACGCAACGAGACAAAUAGCGGGAACAUGUAUGCAGUAAUGACAGAUCUGACAGGAUGUGACAGGUCCUCGGCAGGUUUACUUCUCCAGGUUUCUAAAAAUUAUUCAGGUGAAACACAUUUUGGACUGAAAAUCAAUUUCCUGAUAGACAC
Long non-coding RNA from Xiphias gladius (swordfish), 332 nucleotides. RefSeq lists it as uncharacterized. The transcript is spliced from 3 exons. NCBI's taxonomy places the organism in Eukaryota, Metazoa, Chordata, Actinopteri, Istiophoriformes, Xiphiidae. The record is from RefSeq and is a predicted model, not a curated record.